GCUAGAUGUGGGGACUAUUCCAUGUUCUCUGUGUCGCAGCUAACGCAUUAAGCGCCCCGCCUGGGGAGUACGGCCGCAAGGCUAAAACUCAAAGGAAUUGACGGGGGGCCCGCACAAGCGGCGGAGCAUGCGGCUUAAUUCGAUGCAACGCGAAGAACCUUACCUAGACUUGACAUAUACGGAAAACAUGCAGAGAUGUAUGGUCCGAAAGGGCCGUAUACAGGUGGUGCAUGGUUGUCGUCAGCUCGUGUCGUGAGAUGUUGGGUUAAGUCCCGCAACGAGCGCAACCCUCGUUCUAUGUUGCCAGCGGUUCGGCCGGGGACACAUAGGAGACUGCCGUGGUCAACACGGAGGAAGGUGGGGAUGACGUCAAAUCAUCAUGCCCCUUAUGUCUAGGGCUGCACGCGUGCUACAAUGGCUGGUACAAAGGGCUGCGAUACCGCAAGGUGGAGCGAAUCCCAAAAAGCCAGUCUCAGUUCGGAUUGGGGUCUGCAACUCGACCCCAUGAAGUUGGAGUCGCUAGUAAUCGCAGAUCAGCAAUGCUGCGGUGAAUACGUUCCCGGGCCUUGUACACACCGCCCGUCACGUCACGAAAGU
This 597-nucleotide ribosomal RNA is filed under the name uncultured Actinomycetes bacterium. RNAcentral describes it as "bacterial SSU rRNA". It matches the Rfam family "Bacterial small subunit ribosomal RNA", at positions 815 to 1411 of the family's 1533-position model. Lineage: Bacteria; Bacillati; Actinomycetota; Actinomycetes. The record is from RNAcentral.